UCGCACUUCUGUCACACAUGUCCUCCAUUAUCUCAUCCAUUAUCAAUUCUUCACCGCCUUUAUUUCUGAUUCCACAUGCAACGUUCAUCAACACCACAUGUUCUGAAUCAGAGUCACCAUCACCUUGCGCUAAGUUCGCUACAUCAUCAUUUUUGUUUUUCUUGGCAGACUCAUUAUGCCAGCAUUCAGCCGAGUAAUGGUCGUAUUUGUUACAUGUAUAACAUUGAACAUUUCGCUUAUCUGAACCCUUUCUUCCUCUUCCUCUUGAAUAUCCACCACCUUUGUUGCUUCCUUCUUUUGAAUCAUCAACAUUUCCUUCAUUAUUCUGGUCUGAAAAAUUUGAGUUUCUUCCUCCAUUACGACCACUUCUACCAUGUGAUCUUCCACGACCUCUACCACGAGUCUUGAAACUCUGUUUCGAUCUUGCCUGCAAUGCUUGAUUCGUCGCCUGCGUUGCAGCCAUCUCUGUAUUCUUCCUUUCCAGCAGCCUCUACUCAUGUGCUACGAGCGAGUUCUGCAACUCCUUAAUUUUCAUGGCCUCCCAAGUCUUUAAAUUCUUCAAUGGUGAUCACUAUAUGAUCGUAUUGUGGAGUCAGAGUAGGCAAGAUUUUUUCAAUUAUCUUCUUGUCCUUAACAUUCUUCUCACACGCUCUCAUAUCGUUGACAAGAGCCUGGAUUCUUCCCACAUAUUCUGUCACAGUUUCCUCUAUUCCCAUGCCAAGAAGCUCAUAUUGACGUUGGAGAGACUGCAAUCAAACUUUUUUGACUUUGCCGGAGUUACCAAACGCAUCUUGAAGAAUGUCCCAUACGUCUUUCGCGGUUGCAGCUUUCGAGAACUUUUGGAACAUGGCUGGAGAUAUGCAUUGGUGUAGAAGCAUCCUCGCUUUACAAUCAAGACGACGAUCUUCUUUAUACUUCUUCUUUACAGCUUUUGAGACAUCUUUCAGUGGUUCUUGAAGACCUGACUUCACCACCUCAUCAACUUCUUCAAACCCAAGUAUGGCCUCCAUCUUUACACACUAGUCGUCAUAGUCCUUGCCAUAAAAAAGAGGAAGGUUGUUGUGAAUCAGUCCCGCCAUCACGCCAAGACUUCUGAAGGUUUUUCGAAUCGUAACUAAAAAGCUUUGAAUACCACUGUUAUGUGCUGACAGUGUUUAGGAAGAUAUCAGAGAGAAAAGGAUAGCAGGGAACGUAAAAUGGAAUUCUCAUUAAAAAGAAACUGAAGUAUAAGCAAUGCAUAUAAAGAGAUAACUCUUUGACUAAAACACAGAACAAUUAUAGUUUGACUUUACAAGGUGUAUCAACAUCGUUUAGCUUAGUUAUACAUAUAAAAACAUGUUACGAAAAGGUUAGGUUUAGAAUUUCCUAAGAUUUUAAUUUGAAAUAUUGGGUUCUUGCUUGACUCUGGUACCAUUAUUAAAAAACGGUUAAUCUGUCCAUACAAGGUGUAGAAUUUCCAAUAACACAUGUUUAAGUCAUUUGUAGUGCAUAAUUUUUAGGUUAGAAUUUCCAAUAACACAUGUUUAGGCCAUUUGUAGUACAUAACAAAUGGGUCACCCUAAUGCUUGGUGAAAACUGGGUUUCUUUGAGGCAUUUUAUCAUACACUUUUCUGUUUUGCAUUUAAGAGCCAUUUUAGGUAGAAUCAAGUUCUGGAACAUCUCCCAUUCAUUUUUCUUGAUGAUUCUACAGGUUAAUUCACCAUAUUAGAGCAUUCCAUCAUCAAUUGCAAGGAGAUUUGAGCAAUUCUUUCUUAAAAAUCUGUCAAGACAAUGCCAUUAUUAGCGCAGUUCUAUUUUAAGCAAUUUUAAUAAUUUUCAUUGAUCCACUACACUGUUUUAGUUUCAUAUUCUUUUCUUUCCCAUUUGUUUCAUCUUUAAGGUGAUAAUUGAGCA
Molecule: long non-coding RNA, 1893 nt
Filed under: Vigna radiata
Lineage: Eukaryota; Viridiplantae; Streptophyta; Magnoliopsida; Fabales; Fabaceae
Description: long non-coding RNA (VRAD_LNC000518)
Source: RNAcentral